UUAGCAUGGGGAUUAAAAUGCAAUCCCCAAAAAAUAUAUAUGAUUGUGUUUAGUUGUUCAUAUCAUGACACUAGAUUAUCAUGUCAGUCACAUAGUAUUGUAAUUUGGCAUUAUAUCUCUUCCUUAAGCCGUGUGUGAUCUUUGACCAGUGUCUUUUCCAUGGAAUCGCUCGGCACCUUGAAAAUCCGGCGUUUACCCACCCUUUUCAGGGUAUGUUUGCCCGAUUGGAAUUUGACUUCAAUCAAUUAGAGCCGUCUAAUCAGGCGAACACACGCAUUUCAGCACUCGAGCACUUGCGUUGAUAAGUGGGUAGAACAGGGAACACAGGUCUUGCGGCAAUUAGUCAGGCGGUAAUCAGUUCUUAUCGGGGAACUGGCAACAGUUGGUUGAAUCGCUCGGAAACAGUGUUUUUACAACUGUUUUUUUUUUUUAGUUUUUUUUUCUUGGCCGUGAUAAAACUUCUGAUAAACCAGAGCCCCUAGACUUUGCUCUCCGUCCACCUACGACUACGACUAUACGGUUUCCGUUUUAUGGCUGCCUCGUAAAAAUAACUGUUCGGCCGAUACGCUCGAGGAAGAAUGGGUACGAGUAAAUUUCCAAAAAACAAAAGGGGGGAGUGCAGCUAUUUUGCCGGACUGCGAAUUAAACCGAAAACUGCCCAGCUGACCAGCUGCCCUUGACCCUCCGACGUAAUCGCACAGACACAGCAACUGACACACUCACCUGCGCAACACGCAAUCCCAGCAAAUACAAUAACACAAUUGUGCGGGCACAGUGGGGCAGAGCGGAUUUUUCAUAUGGGAAAAUAGUCAAUUGACUCGAGGAAAUCAAGUGGGGCUUAUUAAAAAAAUGGUUGAUUUUUUCUGGUCUAAGAGCAAUCACGGUAGUUCGAUAUAGAAUCUUUAAGGGAGCAAUAAGAGUUUUUUCCGUUUAUUAAAGCUGAGAUUAUUAAGGUUUACCGAGUUGAUAUAUUUUCAAUGUCAUAAUAUUAAAAUGGUAAAUUAUUAAAUGGAAAUACAAAUUUUUUUGUUUAUUAAAUCUUAAAUUAAAUAGGUUUACUAAGUUCAUAUAUUUUCAAUGUCAUUAUAUUAAAUUGGUUAAUAAUUAAAUGCUAAAUAUUAAAAAAAUGGUUGAUGGUUCCCGACCUAAGAGCAAGCACAAAAGUUGAAUAUAGAAUUUUCAAGGGAGAAGAAAAAAAUCUUUCCUUAUAUCAAAGCUGAGAUUAUUAAGGUUUACUGAAUUGAUAUAUGUUUAAUGUCAUAAUAUUAAGAUGGUAAAUUAUAAAAUGGAAGUAAAAUGUUUUAUUUAUUAAAGCUGAAUUUAAUUAGGUUACUGAGUUGAUAUAUUUUCAAUGUCAUUGUAUUAAAAUGUUAAAUAGUUAAAUGGUAAAUAUUAAAAAAAAUCGUUGAUUGUUCCUGGCCUAAGAGCAAGCACAAUAGUUAAAUAUAUAAUUUGUAAGGGAGAAGAAGAAAUUGUUUCCUUAUAUCAAAGAUGAGAUUAUUAAGGUUUACUGAGUUAAUAUAUUUUCAAUGUCAUUUUAUAAAAUGGUGAGUUUAUUUGCACUAAGCUAUCAUAAUCCAUAAAUACUUUUACUGCCGUCUGAAUACAAUCAUUUAAUUGUCCACUCACUGCUCAAACUUAUGAUUCACUGAUUGAGCAUUUCCCUCAAGAAAAUUUGAUAAAUAUGACUCAAUAUUAAAAAAAAAGUAUCUGAUUUCCAAUUUCUCGUAAUUUUUCCCUCUGAAAUUACAUUUUUGCUGACCAAGAGUUAAAUAACCCCGGGGUGGAAAUUAUCUCGCCGUGAACUGCUUUUGCCGCCUCAACUUUGACCCACUGUGCGGCCAAGGCUUUUCGCUGUUGCCUUUAUGUUUGUUUAUUUGUUUUGAGCGCGGUUUCGCAGUGAGCAGAGUGGAAAUCGCUAGCAUUGGCGCGUUUUUAAACGCUCUCGAAUGUGGGGUGUGCAAAUACCCAAUCUACGCGAUGCCAAAUGAAUUUUAAUUGAGACAUGCAAACUGGGUGUCGGAGUUACGGAAUUUGAUUCUGUUUUUUUGUGUUUGUCGCAAAAAAGGUUUGAGUGCAAACAAUGGCAAACAAGACAAUUGCAUUUAGCGUCAUCAUUUGCCAAGCUCCACCGAAAACUAAAAUAUUGUUUGCACACUAAUGAUCAAAUAGAGUUGGUUUUUGGACUCUGCCAUGGAAAUUUCCCAUUAUCUGGUACAAAAUAAUCUGGCUGAGAUUGGCCAGUCAUCAUCCCAGACGAGAUUGGUGGAAGAAGGGUUAGUGGCGUUCCCAUAAGCAAAUGGGGCGGAAACUAAUUUAAUCGAACCACUUUGUACGGCCACCUCCAUUAUACCACUAUACCGUAUCGCAGCGGUUUGGGAUUCGUUAUCUAUCCAUCGGCUUCAACGGGGUAUUAGGAGUGUUUAAAAAUAAAACAUGAACUAUAGAGGCGGCCUGAUAAAUGACCGGCCAGUCGGGCCAGUGCCAUAAUAAAUCUACCUUUGAAGCGCCAUAUAGAUGUGCAUAUACUGAAAGCGGAACCCACGUUUAGGGUAACUGUUAAUUGACCGCAUAAACCCGCCCACUUUGUCCAUCAAUUAUGUGCAUCUAAAUUGAACUUUGACGCUGCAAAUUGCUCUACUAUUCCCACCCAUAUUCACCUCUUCCGUUUUUUGCCGCGCAAUAAACAAAUAAUUAUAGGCGAAUAAAUUACAAAAAUAUGGCUAAAAAUCAAGCGUGUAUCAAUCAAUAAAACAAUAAACACACAUUCGAGCAAAGUCCGAAAUAUUAUUUUAUGUUAAUUUAUGGGAAUCUAACAAAAAACAAAAAAAAUAGUAUCCUCUGAUAUGUUAGUUUAAGUGCGUUAUAUACACAUUAUCUAAUCGACUUCUGUGUCGACAUUUGCCCAUCCAAAUCACGUGUAAAAGAUUGUUUAAGGUUUUAAAUUUAUAGAUAAAUAGUACAUUUAGCGUGUACUGUUACCUUGAAAUAAAUAGUAGUUACAAAAUAAAUAAAUUUAGAGAAAUAAUCUAAUCUACUAAAAGUGUCUUGGAUUGUUUAAUAUUUAUUUACAA
Drosophila suzukii is the source of this 3074-nucleotide non-coding RNA. NCBI's taxonomy places the organism in Eukaryota, Metazoa, Arthropoda, Insecta, Diptera, Drosophilidae. The record is from RefSeq and is a predicted model, not a curated record.